This 388-nucleotide ribosomal RNA is filed under the name uncultured bacterium. Its description in RNAcentral is "bacterial SSU rRNA". It matches the Rfam family "Bacterial small subunit ribosomal RNA", at positions 28 to 417 of the family's 1533-position model. The record is from RNAcentral.
GACGAACGCUGGCGGCGUGCUUAACACAUGCAAGUCGAGCGGUAAGGCCCUUUCGGGGGUACACGAGCGGCGAACGGGUGAGUAACACGUGGGUGACCUGCCCUCAGCUCUGGGAUAAGCCCGGGAAACUGGGUCUAAUACCGGAUAUGACUCCAUGACGCAUGUUGUGGGGUGGAAAGCCUUGUGCGGCUGAGGAUGGGCCCGCGGCCUAUCAGCUUGUUGGUGGGGUGANGGCCUACCAAGGCGACGACGGGUGGCCGGCCUGAGAGGGCGACCGGCCACACUGGGACUGAGACACGGCCCAGACUCCUACGGGAGGCAGCAGUGGGGAAUCUUGCGCAAUGGGCGAAAGCCUGACGCAGCGACGCCGCGUGAGGGAUGACGGCCU